RNAcentral lists this long non-coding RNA (403 nucleotides) under Anas platyrhynchos platyrhynchos (common mallard). RNAcentral describes it as "lncRNA (ENSAPLG00000026865.1)". Lineage: Eukaryota; Metazoa; Chordata; Aves; Anseriformes; Anatidae. The record is from RNAcentral.
AUGAUAAAUUUGGUGUUACAUGAAGAGGUAAUAUUUAUCUUACACUUCUAUUGCUUUUUUUGUGAAAAAAAAAAAAAAAGAGAAUGGGAAGCUUUAACUAAUAGUUCAUUCACUCUUAAUAGAUUCAUGUGUUUGAGAAAAAAGGAGCAUCUUUCUGGACCAACAUGGAAAUCUAAGAAAACCAGGAAAAUGCUACUGAAGUUUCAUCUACUAUUUUAUCCAUUGUGCUCUAUAAAGUCAGAUUUAUGAUGCAAAAUUAAAGUAAAAUACUAGCAAGACAAUUCCAGUGUGAAGAAAGGCACUGCAUUUCAAGACUAGGGGCAAAGGGAUUAGAAUCAGCAUUGUAAAUAUUUUAAUUAUCCACUUCAUACAACUGUUGGAAUAAAAUAAUUUUGUAAACUCA